This is a long non-coding RNA of Bos taurus (domestic cattle), 464 nucleotides long. Lineage: Eukaryota; Metazoa; Chordata; Mammalia; Artiodactyla; Bovidae. The record is from Ensembl.
GAAUGAAAGAGUGAAUGGCUAAAGGGAGCAGUGGCCAGAAACAGGAGAGGCUUAGUCGGCAGAAGCAAUAGGCUCUGGUGAUUAGCUAGGUGCAGAGAGGGGUGGCUAGGAGAGAAGGAAGAGGCACGGAUGAGCCCAAACUCUAGACUUGGGAGCUGAGGGGAAGGAGCAACCUGGAGGAGAAGAAGAUAGUUCUGUCCUUAUCUCAGGAGGGAAAGACACACAGAUGGCGGCCGUGUCUUAACGCAGGAGACGUUCCGGUUUCACGUGGGUUCCUCAAAGAGUGGCACCUGGAAAUUCUACGCUAGCUGAUCCAGACCUGCCCUGUGUCCCAGGUCACAAGGGACCACGUGGGCUCCAUCAGUGGAGCCAGAAGUCGGAGGGUUAUCUUCAGCAACCUUCACCACCACACUCAAUGAGCAAGAACUGUAGGUUCUGCCCUCCCUGUAAUCUCAAAACCCAGC